CACGGGCGUGUCCGAUGCGCGGGACGCGGUGCUCGCAGCACCGCGCGAGCGGCCCACGUUCAUCGCCGCGGACCUGCGU
This 79-nucleotide transfer RNA is filed under the name Actinotalea fermentans. RNAcentral describes it as "tRNA-Ala". The record is from RNAcentral. Lineage: Bacteria; Bacillati; Actinomycetota; Actinomycetes; Micrococcales; Cellulomonadaceae.